RNAcentral lists this ribosomal RNA (407 nucleotides) under uncultured Cellulosimicrobium sp. RNAcentral's name for it is "bacterial SSU rRNA". It matches the Rfam family "Bacterial small subunit ribosomal RNA", at positions 355 to 774 of the family's 1533-position model. The record is from RNAcentral. Lineage: Bacteria; Bacillati; Actinomycetota; Actinomycetes; Micrococcales; Promicromonosporaceae.
UGGGGAAUAUUGCACAAUGGGCGAAAGCCUGAUGCAGCGACGCCGCGUGAGGGAUGAAGGCCUUCGGGUUGUAAACCCCUUUCAGCAGGGAAGAAGCGCAAGUGACGGUACCUGCAGAAGAAGCGCCGGCUAACUACGUGCCAGCAGCCGCGGUAAUACGUAGGGCGCAAGCGUUGUCCGGAAUUAUUGGGCGUAAAGAGCUCGUAGGCGGUUUGUCGCGUCUGGUGUGAAAACUCGAGGCUCAACCUCGAGCUUGCAUCGGGUACGGGCAGACUAGAGUGCGGUAGGGGAGACUGGAAUUCCUGGUGUAGCGGUGGAAUGCGCAGAUAUCAGGAGGAACACCGAUGGCGAAGGCAGGUCUCUGGGCCGCAACUGACGCUGAGGAGCGAAAGCAUGGGGAGCGAACA